Molecule: long non-coding RNA, 929 nt
Filed under: Sorghum bicolor (sorghum)
Lineage: Eukaryota; Viridiplantae; Streptophyta; Magnoliopsida; Poales; Poaceae
Description: long non-coding RNA (SBIC_LNC013079)
Source: RNAcentral
GAAUCUGGACCCUCGAGCGGAGGAUCUUGGCGUCGGAUCCGUAUCUUGGAGCGGAGGAGCUCGGUGCCGAUCCAGACGCUGGAGCAGUCCCACCCCCACGUUAAGUCCAGCAGCGAGCACUUCAAGGCAAAACUGGUCCACAUCGAGCUGCUCAGGUGACUCAUGUGUUCCCCCAUGUGGUUCUAUAUCCAUCUUUCUGCAGGGAUUUUACUAGCAUGCCGGUGGUGAGGGAUCUGCACGGCCAGGGUCUGACGCUCGACGGAACCUGAUCUGAAUGAAUCCAAGUGCCAUGAUGCCAAUACUGCAGAUUUUGCUCACCCAGUGCAAUGACCAGAGCUUGCAUUCGGAUUCCUAAAAAUCUAGUAUUUCACAUUCCAUUCCAGGAGAUACUUAAAUCUUAGCUUCGACCAUGUUUGUUUUUUUUAGAGUAAUUUUUAAUCAAAUGCUAUGCAGACCCAUGGGUUGAGGAAUAAAGCAACACUGGAAGUUUAUGAGAGAUAUAUUUUUUUAUUUCAAAUAUGUUGUUUGCUACGGCAUGCUUAUCAUGAUUGGAGGUUCAUGUUAUGUGAUAGUCUUAUUCAUCUGUGGGUAUGAAGAUUUAUUAAUGUCUUACACAAAUUUGUGAGGACACAAGUGAAUCCUAUAUGUAUUCCAAAAUUAUCUUCACUUCUACAGGCUCUACUUCUUCCCAUUUUCACAAAUGUGUUAUGGAAGUAGGUAGUAUUAAUUUAGUUGGCCCAACUAAUUAUACAUUAGCUUCAAUAAAUUCUUGUGUAUUGUUUUAUGAUUUUUUGGUUGGAAAUUUCAUAUCAUUAAGAGAGCUCUCUACUUUUAUUUUGCAUACCUAACUUAGUUUUCAGUUUUAUAUUCUUUGUAUGAAUCAGUUUGGAUGUAGUUUCAGUUACCGUUUGUAUUUCUAUCUAUCUUGU